Molecule: ribosomal RNA, 405 nt
Filed under: uncultured bacterium
Lineage: Bacteria
Description: bacterial SSU rRNA
Rfam family: Bacterial small subunit ribosomal RNA
Source: RNAcentral
AAGAAGGGUUUCGGCUCGUAAAGCUCUGUUGUUGGAGAAGAACGUGCGUGAGAGUAACUGUUCACGCAGUGACGGUAUCCAACCAGAAAGUCACGGCUAACUACGUGCCAGCAGCCGCGGUAAUACGUAGGUGGCAAGCGUUAUCCGGAUUUAUUGGGCGUAAAGCGAGCGCAGGCGGUUGCUUAGGUCUGAUGUGAAAGCCUUCGGCUUAACCGAAGAAGUGCAUCGGAAACCGGGCGACUUGAGUGCAGAAGAGGACAGUGGAACUCCAUGUGUAGCGGUGGAAUGCGUAGAUAUAUGGAAGAACACCAGUGGCGAAGGCGGCUGUCUGGUCUGCAACUGACGCUGAGGCUCGAAAGCAUGGGUAGCGAACAGGAUUAGAUACCCUGGUAGUCCAUGCCGUAA